AGAUUAAGUUAUUAAGGGCGCACGGUGGAUACCUUGGCACUAGAAGCCUAUGAAGGACGUUACUAACGACGAUAUGCUUUGGGGAGCUGUAAGUAAGCUUUGAUCCAGAGAUUUCCGAAUGGGGAAACCCAGCACGAGUUAUGUCGUGUUAUCGAUAUGUGAAUACAUAGCAUAUUCGAAGGCAGACGCGGAGAACUGAAACAUCUUAGUACCCGCAGGAAGAGAAAGAAAAAUCGAUUCCCUGAGUAGCGGCGAGCGAAACGGGAAGAGCCCAAACCAACGAGCUUGCUUGUUGGGGUUGUAGGACACUCUAUACGGAGUUACAAAAGAACAAAUUAGACGAAGCAUCUGGAAAGAUGAAUCAAAGAAGGUAAUAAUCCUGUAGUCGAAAGUUUGUUCACUCUUGAGUGGAUCCUGAGUACGGCGGAACACGAGAAAUUCCGUCGGAAUCCGGGAGGACCAUCUCCCAAGGCUAAAUACUCUCUAGUGACCGAUAGUGAACCAGUACCGUGAGGGAAAGGUGAAAAGUACCCCGGAAGGGGAGUGAAAUAGAACUUGAAACCGUGUGCUUACAAGUAGUCAGAGCCCGUUAAUGGGUGAUGGCGUGCCUUUUGUAGAAUGAACCGGCGAGUUACGAUUUGAUGCAAGGUUAAGCAGUAAAUGUGGAGCCGUAGCGAAAGCGAGUCUGAAUAGGGCGUUGAGUAUUUGGUCGUAGACCCGAAACCAGGUGAUCUACCCAUGACCAGGCUGAAGUUCAGGUAACACUGAAUGGAGGGCCGAACCGACUUACGUUGAAAAGUGAGCGGAUGAGUUGUGGGUAGCGGAGAAAUUCCAAUCGAACCUGGAGAUAGCUGGUUCUCUCCGAAAUAGCUUUAGGGCUAGCCUCAAGUGAUGAUUAUUGGAGGUAGAGCACUGUUUGGACGAGGGGCCCUUAUCGGGUUACCGAAUUCAGACAAACUCCGAAUGCCAAUCAAUUUAACUUGGGAGUCAGAACGCGGGUGAUAAGGUCCGUGUUCGAGAGGGAAACAGCCCAGACCACCAGCUAAGGUCCCAAAAUAUAUGUUAAGUGGAAAAGGAUGUGGCGUUGCCCAGACAACUAGGAUGUUGGCUUAGAAGCAGCCAUCAUUUAAAGAGUGCGUAAUAGCUCACUAGUCGAGUGACACUGCGCCGAAAAUGUACCGGGGCUAAACAUAUUACCGAAGCUGUGGAUUGUCCGUAGGACAAUGGUAGGAGAGCGUUCUAAGGGCGUUGAAGCAUGAUCGCAAGGACAUGUGGAGCGCUUAGAAGUGAGAAUGCCGGUGUGAGUAGCGAAAGACGGGUGAGAAUCCCGUCCACCGAUUGACUAAGGUUUCCAGAGGAAGGCUCGUCCGCUCUGGGUUAGUCGGGUCCUAAGCUGAGGCCGAUAGGCGUAGGCGAUGGAUAACAGGUUGAUAUUCCUGUACCACCAAAAUUCGUUUUGAGCGAUGGGGGGACGCAGUAGGAUAGGCGAAGCGUGCUGUUGGAGUGCACGUCCAAGCAAUAAGACUGAGUAUUAGGCAAAUCCGGUACUCUUAAGGUCAAGUUGUGAUGGGGAGAGGAAAUUUUUU
RNAcentral lists this ribosomal RNA (1586 nucleotides) under Staphylococcus sp. LCT-H4. RNAcentral describes it as "bacterial LSU rRNA". It matches the Rfam family "Bacterial large subunit ribosomal RNA", at positions 1 to 1585 of the family's 2925-position model. The record is from RNAcentral. Lineage: Bacteria; Bacillati; Bacillota; Bacilli; Caryophanales; Staphylococcaceae.